AGCGAACGCUGGCGGCAGGCUUAACACAUGCAAGUCGAGCGGGCGUAGCAAUACGUCAGCGGCAGACGGGUGAGUAACGCGUGGGAACAUACCUUUUGGUUCGGAACAACACAGGGAAACUUGUGCUAAUACCGGAUAAGCCCUUACGGGGAAAGAUUUAUCGCCGAAAGAUUGGCCCGCGUCUGAUUAGCUAGUUGGUGAGGUAACGGCUCACCAAGGCGACGAUCAGUAGCUGGUCUGAGAGGAUGAUCAGCCACAUUGGGACUGAGACACGGCCCAAACUCCUACGGGAGGCAGCAGUGGGGAAUAUUGGACAAUGGGCGAAAGCCUGAUCCAGCCAUGCCGCGUGAGUGAUGAAGGCCCUAGGGUUGUAAAGCUCUUUUGUGCGGGAAGAUAAUGACGGUACCGCAAGAAUAAG
This 418-nucleotide ribosomal RNA is filed under the name uncultured bacterium. RNAcentral describes it as "bacterial SSU rRNA". It matches the Rfam family "Bacterial small subunit ribosomal RNA", at positions 29 to 490 of the family's 1533-position model. The record is from RNAcentral.